Long non-coding RNA from Gambusia affinis (western mosquitofish), 1268 nucleotides. RefSeq lists it as uncharacterized. NCBI's taxonomy places the organism in Eukaryota, Metazoa, Chordata, Actinopteri, Cyprinodontiformes, Poeciliidae. The transcript is spliced from 3 exons. The record is from RefSeq and is a predicted model, not a curated record.
UCGUGUCGUCGCAAUCCUGCAACUAUUGAUUUCAGGCUCUUUGUUGUUUGUUUAUUACUUAGUAAAAUUGCUGUGCGCACAAAUUAUUAGCUGCAUGCGUGUUUAUCGGGAUUACAGCAGGCAGAAGUACAUUUGAUUGGACCCCGCUCCCCUCACGCCUGCUGACCCAGUCUGUGUGGGAGUCACUGCAGAGCUGCCGUUUGGGUUUUCUUCUGGGAAAUCCGAGCUUGAUGACCAAACGUGUUCUGAUUGGUUCAGGCCACUGUGAAGAGAGAAGAGCUGAACUGAACCAGAUGCCUGUUGAUGUCACUUCCAUGUUUGGAGGUCAAUAUGGACUGAAUGACUUCGUUCACUUCCUCUGCUGCCAUUCCAAGACCACAACUCUAGAAAAUCAUCGUCAUUGUUCACAAUUUCUCCUGUUCACUGAUCGGCCUGGUCGAAAGUCUACUGAAACCCACUCAAUGGGAAAAAGCCCAAACGGUGAAGAAAAACGAGAAUCGAGCAGAGUUGUGCAGGAAGGCAGUGACCAGGCUAACUACAUGAACACGGCCAUAAAAACUGACCGUUGGACAAACUUGUCCCACGGACUUUGAAUACGCCUCGAGUACGCCUGGACCUCGGUGGAGUGACGUACGCCUGUGUAUUUGAGGUUUAUAGCUUUCCUCUUAUUGUUAGCCCUUAUGAAAUAUUGCUACAUUGAAUCGUUUGGUCUCUUAGUCUGAACCGCCAUGCUGGUUAGUUUCUUUAAGAGGCUAUACAUUUUCUCACACGUCUCAUAACUUGUAUAACCCGAUGUCUCCAGCAGGCCUCUGAGGUCGUGUGACCAGCAGUUGCUGGUCGUGUCGUGUGAUGAUGAAAUCUACGACACGAAUCCAAGACUUUGAGCUCUGCAGACUGAAAAGUGCCACGUAAAUGAAGUUUUAUUGACUAGUUGCAAGUCUACAGACAGGAAGUGGAACAUGGCAGAGUAGGUCAGGGUGAAACGCUGAGACAGGACUUUGGGGUACGUUCAACAUUUGACAACUCCCACUUGAUCCAAACUGCAUACUGAUGCAAUCGGUAUGCAUAAACCUUUUGAGCCACUUUGAAUACUAAUUGAACACACUGUAUCGCAUUAUAGCUAGGGUCAAUUGUAAUGUAAGUGUGAUUGAACUGAAAUUACGUUUUUAAGUAAAGUACCUCGAGAGAACAUUUGUUGUGAAUUGGAGAUAGAAAUAAAGUGAACUGAAUUGGAUUACUGGAGCCUGUCUUGAAGCAUAAUCUGCUUC